Molecule: ribosomal RNA, 119 nt
Filed under: Pteropus alecto (black flying fox)
Lineage: Eukaryota; Metazoa; Chordata; Mammalia; Chiroptera; Pteropodidae
Source: RNAcentral
GUCUACGGCCAUGCCACCCUGAACAAGCCAGAGCCCGUCUGAUCUUAGAAGCUAAGCAAGGUCGGGCCUGGUUAGUACUUGGACAGAAGACCACCUAGGAAGACCAGGUGCUACAGGCA